AUGGCAUGGUUCGCAUCACCGGUCGUUCUUGGCGCCGUCUAUGUAGCUGCAUUGGCGUUCCGCCUCGUUCCUCACUUGGCUGUGUGCCUCCGGCGUCCCAAGGACCUCCGGCGCAGCUACGGCACGUGGGCCGUCACCACGGGGCCAACAUCCGGCAUUGGCUGGUCCCUGGCCGUGGAGCUCGCGCGCAGUGGGCUGAACCUUGUCCUCAUCGGCCGAGACCCGGCCAAGCUCCAGGACAUCUCCCAGACGAUAUGCAGGGCCGCUCCCACCGUGAAGACCAAGACUCUAGUCUUGGACUUGUCGCUCCUCGCCACCGCCCAUGGCGACGAGGUGAUGUGACGGCUGCGGCAGACCGUGGAGGCGCUGGACGUCGGCGUGUUGGAGCCCGGUGCGGUCUUCCUGCACGAGGCCGGCAUCGAGGAGUUGGUGGAUAUGAUACGGGUGAACCUGUUGGGGCUGACAGAGGUGACAGCGGCGGUGAUUCCGGGCAUGGUGGAGCACCGGAGGGGAGCUGUGGUCAACAUGGGCUCAGCUUCGUCAGAGGCCAUCCCCUCCUUACCCCUCUACACCAUGUACGCCGCUACUAAACGCUAUGUUGCUCAGUUCUCUAGGAGUCUUCACGUAGAAUAA
Molecule: ribosomal RNA, 633 nt
Filed under: Triticum aestivum (bread wheat)
Lineage: Eukaryota; Viridiplantae; Streptophyta; Magnoliopsida; Poales; Poaceae
Description: partial small subunit ribosomal RNA
Source: RNAcentral